GGAUGCCAUUCGCAGUUAGUUCAGUAGCGUGGAUGGAGAAUAACGCGUGGCUGGAGGAACAAUUGAAAAAUGGAUAAGAUAAUACAACAAAAGGAUGAUCAAAUUAUGGACCUGCAGGCUCAAUUAUUGCAACAGCACAAAAUAUUAGAUAACAGCAAAGCUAAGGAUGCUCAAAGUUUGAGUCUACAAGCUCAGCUAGGGGAAAAGAACAAAUUGGAACGGAACAGCUUCCAAACAGUGAAGGAGGUUUUUCCAAACUCAAACCUAACUGAACAUGAGGAUGAAUUGGCAUUAGGCGAACACAGUCAGUUAUUCAGUCUACCACCUGACAGUGUGUUAAAUUUAAAUUCUGUUAGUGCUGCACAAAAAGAAUCGUUAGUAAUAAGCCCAUGCAGUGAAGGAAGUGAACAAUUGUGGGACCGUAUUUGGGCCGAAAAUGGGUGUGGUACGGAAACCAAGAUAUGGCACGAGUUCAACAUGAAACAUGGAUUAGAAUUUAAUGGGGGAUCAAAUCAAGUCUGGAAGUGUUACAGGAUGGAAGAGUCAGCCUACAGAUGAAAAAACACUGAGAGUGCAUUACCAUUAAGUACAACAGCAAUCCUUUAUAGUUCUGUCACAGCUAGAAACCUCAAAUAAUUCUGCUUCUCUGUCUAAAGAACAACUUGUCCUUUACAUUCAGAGUGUUGGGGAAACUGGGUACUUAAAUGGCCCUAAAGAUGUUUUAAUUUUGCUGCCAUUGCAGAGAUGAACAUCAUACAUGGACUCUUUAGGUCUAAUCUACCAAAAAAAAUUUUAUCCAAUAGGAAAGGAUUUUCAUGUACUGGGAACACAACUAUCAACAAUGCAACAUUGUACAGGUGCUAGUUUAUCAUUCAAGAGCCUUAUACAAUGAUGUUAAUCUGC
RNA transcript from Daphnia carinata, 903 nucleotides. RefSeq lists it as uncharacterized. NCBI's taxonomy places the organism in Eukaryota, Metazoa, Arthropoda, Branchiopoda, Diplostraca, Daphniidae. The transcript is spliced from 7 exons. The record is from RefSeq and is a predicted model, not a curated record.